ACCUAAGCCCGAUUGUACGGAUGCCGUUUUAAUCGACAGUUUUUUUAAUACCCGAAAUUUAAAACGGCAGGAGGAAAAGCGGGACUGAAA
This 90-nucleotide small RNA is filed under the name Pedobacter alluvionis. RNAcentral describes it as "Flavo-1 RNA". The record is from RNAcentral. Lineage: Bacteria; Pseudomonadati; Bacteroidota; Sphingobacteriia; Sphingobacteriales; Sphingobacteriaceae.